This 433-nucleotide ribosomal RNA is filed under the name uncultured bacterium. RNAcentral's name for it is "partial 16S ribosomal RNA". It matches the Rfam family "Bacterial small subunit ribosomal RNA", at positions 29 to 507 of the family's 1533-position model. The record is from RNAcentral.
AACGAACGCUGGCGGCAUGCCUAACACAUGCAAGUCGAACGAGACCUUCGGGUUUUGUGGCGCACGGGUGCGUAACGCGUGGGAACUUGCCCUUCGGUUCUUAAUCACUUCCCGAAAGGGGUUCUAAUAACGUCUACUGUCUUCGGACCAAGGAUUUAUCGCCUUUGGAUGGGCCCGCGUUGGGUUAGCUUGUUGGUAGGGUAAACGCCUACCAAGGCUACGAUCCAUAGCUGGUCGGAGAGGAUGAUCAGCCACACUGGGACUGAGACACGGCCUAGUUUCCUACGGGAGGAAGUAGUGUGGAAUAUUGUUUUUUUGGUGAUUGUCGAGUCGAGCAAUGCCGCGUGCGUGAUGAAUGGAGUGGAGUUGUAAAAUCUCUUUUCACGGGAUGAUAAUGACAGUACCGGGAGAAUAAGCUCCGGCUAACGCCGUG